Molecule: ribosomal RNA, 511 nt
Filed under: uncultured bacterium
Lineage: Bacteria
Description: bacterial SSU rRNA
Rfam family: Bacterial small subunit ribosomal RNA
Source: RNAcentral
GACGAACGCUGGCGGCGUGCCUAAUACAUGCAAGUCGAGCGGGUUUGUUCCUUCGGGGACAAGCUAGCGGCGGACGGGUGAGUAACACGUAGGUAACCUGCCCAUGGGACCGGGAUAACGUCGGGAAACCGAUGCUAAUACCGGAUAGCUGAUUCUCUUGCAUAAGAGAAUCUGGAAAGACGGCGCAAGCUGUCACCGAUGGAUGGGCCUGCGGCGCAUUAGCUAGUUGGUGAGGUAACGGCUCACCAAGGCGACGAUGCGUAGCCGACCUGAGAGGGUGAUCGGCCACACUGGGACUGAGACACGGCCCAGACUCCUACGGGAGGCAGCAGUAGGGAAUCUUCGGCAAUGGGCGAAAGCCUGACCGAGCAACGCCGCGUGAGUGAUGAAGGCUUUCGGGUCGUAAAACUCUGUUGCCAGAGAAGAACGUCCAGGAGAGUAACUGCUCUUGGAGUGACGGUAUCUGAGAAGAAAGCCCCGGCUAACUACGUGCCAGCCGCCGCCGUAAGAC